CAGAGGGAUUUUGCUGAGGUGCUAAUCCUACCUGCGGGUCAGGUCUGUCUUAGGGCACUGUCUUAGGGCAGGGUGGUGAUCGGCCAGAAAAAGGAGAAAUGGAAAGCGGUAAGCAAGCUUGGGUGACAAAAGCCCCGGGCCAGCAGAGAGAAAACUUCCCAGAACUCUGAGGCACCCGGAACUGGACGACUUCCUGGUAUUUAUUGGGUGAAAGGAUGUUCAUCCUGAAGAGAUGCUGAAGAGGAAAGGGUGGGUGAGUCGCUGAAGGAGUCAACAGAGGACUGUGGAGGCCAUGAAGAACUGGAACAGUUAAGUGCGUACUCAGCUUCAGUAUUUCCAUGCCUCAAUCAGGAGUUUCACUGCGCAGCCUGUGGCACAGCUAUGGAAAACACGUGCUCUGUGCUGAGCAACAGAUGAUCAGCCACAGCAUUGCCACCCGUGGGAAAUUCUAAUUGUUUGUCGCAAUUCAAGACAGGAAAUGGAAAAUUCAGAAAACUGUCUAUUUUCAGAAGAAAGCAAAGCAAAAUGUUUGGCUUCCCUAAGCCGCAGUGGCCGUACUGGAAGCCCUCCAGCUGUCCUUGCCUCCCUGCCUGCUGCUCUGGAGCCACUGUGCCAGGGUCCCAGUGGGCUCCCGGCUGCCCUGGCCUUCCUGCCCCACAGCCCCCAGGCCUGUGAGCACAGCGUGGUGCAGCACAGCCCCCCAUGGCGUGGCCCCGCAGGGCAAGGGCCCAAUAUCGGCAGGGCAACGGUCGGCUGCUGGCACUGCCGCGUCCACAUGGGCUAACCUGGGAAACCGCUU
Molecule: long non-coding RNA, 799 nt
Organism: Oxyura jamaicensis (ruddy duck)
Lineage: Eukaryota; Metazoa; Chordata; Aves; Anseriformes; Anatidae
Exons: 3
Source: RefSeq, a predicted model, not a curated record